UGGCCCUACGGGGGGCCGCAGUGGGGAAUAUUGCACAAUGGGGGGAACCCUGAUGCAGCGACGCCGCGUGGGUGAAGAAGUCAUUCGUGACGUAAAGCCUUAUCAGCAGGGAAGAAAAUGACGGUACCUCAGGAAUAAGCCACGGCUAACUACGUGCCAGCAGCCGCGGUAAUACGUAGGUGGCAAGCGUUAUCCGGAUUUAUUGGGUGUAAAGGGCGUGUAGGCGGGAAAGCAAGUCAGAUGUGAAAACUCAGGGCUCAACCCUGAGCCUGCAUUUGAAACUGUUUUUCUUGAGGGCUGUAGAG
This 305-nucleotide ribosomal RNA is filed under the name uncultured bacterium. RNAcentral's name for it is "bacterial SSU rRNA". It matches the Rfam family "Bacterial small subunit ribosomal RNA", at positions 334 to 656 of the family's 1533-position model. The record is from RNAcentral.